RNAcentral lists this long non-coding RNA (1135 nucleotides) under Bos indicus x Bos taurus (hybrid cattle). RNAcentral's name for it is "lncRNA (ENSBIXG00000010379.1)". The record is from RNAcentral. Lineage: Eukaryota; Metazoa; Chordata; Mammalia; Artiodactyla; Bovidae.
AUGGUCCAAACUUGGGAGAGUUCUCUGGACUUCUCUGAUAGAAGAACUGAGAGGAGGAGUAGAGAACUUUUGUCCGGCUCCCUGGAAAAUGAACAGAACUCCACUGGGAGAGUCCAAUGCAGCCAAGCAUUCUUAGCUUCAACCAAAUCUGCCAUCUCCAUUUGCCAAGCCUGGUAUCAAUGCUUUAGAGGUGAGAGUCCCCUAGUCCUUUAGUUAAAUAACACAUGGGACCAGAAUGGAGUGAAGAGUUUCUAAAUCUCAUGCUGCUCUAGUACUGAUGAUAACAAAGCUCUGGCUUACAGUUUUAUCAUGCAAGUACAAGCGAGCUUGCCAGUGUUUAUAUAAUUUCUCUACUUAAUGCCUUCAGUGGUUCCCCACUGCACGUGGAUAAAAUCCAACUUCUUUUAGAGUGGAUCCAGACCUUUCAUGAUCUAGCCUUCACACCCUUUUAAAGCCUCAUCUUUCACUAAUAUUCCCCACAUAAUCCUAUCCUUUAGCAUAACCAAAAAUUCUCAUGGUCCUGGAUUCCUAAACAUAUCAUAGUGUUCCACAUUUCUGCACCUUAAGAAGUCUUAUCUGUAAAUAUUGACUUGCUAUUGUUAUUAUUCUAAAAACUAGUGUGUGCUAUGGUUUCUUUUGAUGCUCUCCUCCCCUUAAAGAAUGAGAUCCAAAGCAAUCAACUCAGAAGAAUGUCAAAAGAUACCAAAAGUCAUAAGCUCUUCUCCCUCACUCCAUCUCAUCCAGUUGUCUUAUAACUUCUUUUUAAUGAAAACUAAUAUAAUUCUAUUUAUAAGAAAAACAGGUUGUUGUGAGAGGAUAUCAAUAUGAAGUUAGAUUCAGUGGGAAGUUUACCAGGUUGAACUGAUGGCAUACUCUAUUUCAGCGAAUGUUAUCUCAUAUGAUGAUGAUGGAAUUCUGCAAGACUGAUGGGCCACCAGAGUACAUAAGUGAAAGUCGUCAAGAUGCAAGUUAGAUAUCUAAGCUGGAUUUUGAGGACACCCAGACAGUUUCCCACCUCUCACAAAAUUAUAUUAUUUUUACAAAAUAUUUGAAGUGAGAAGAGAUUUAGAUCCUAUACUAAGUAUUCUUGGUGAUUUUUCUGAUAACAAUAAACUACUUUCUAGAACUCUGGUCA